This 465-nucleotide ribosomal RNA is filed under the name uncultured bacterium. RNAcentral describes it as "partial 16S ribosomal RNA". It matches the Rfam family "Bacterial small subunit ribosomal RNA", at positions 28 to 507 of the family's 1533-position model. The record is from RNAcentral.
GACGAACGCUGUCGGCGUGCUUAACACAUGCAAGUCGUACGGUAAGGCCCUUUCUGGGGUACACGAGUGGCGAACGGGUGAGUAACACGUGAGUAACCUGCCCACAACUUUGGGAUAACGCUAGUAAACUGGUGCUAAUACUGGAUAUGUGCCCCUGCUGCAUGGUGGGGGUUGGAAAGCUCCGGCGGUUGUGGAUGGACUCGCGGGCUAUCAGCUUGUUGGUGGGGUAGUGGGCUACCAAGGCGGCGACGGGUAGCCGGCCUGAGAGGGUGACCGGCCACAGUGGGACUGAGAUACGGCCCAGACUCCUACGGGAGGCAGCAGAGGGGAAUAUUGCACAAUGGGCGCAAGCCGGAUGCAGCAACGCCGCGUGCGGGAUGACGGCCUUCGGGUUGUAAACCGAUUUCAGCAGGGAAGAAGCUUUUUGUGACGGUACCUGCAGAAGAAGCACCGGCUAACUACGUG